This is a long non-coding RNA of Schistocerca gregaria, 1523 nucleotides long. RefSeq lists it as uncharacterized. NCBI's taxonomy places the organism in Eukaryota, Metazoa, Arthropoda, Insecta, Orthoptera, Acrididae. The transcript has 4 exons. The record is from RefSeq and is a predicted model, not a curated record.
CCGAAAUUAUCGUUGGUGGAUCGCAUGUAAACAUUUCGUCACUGUUGUUGUGUUUUAUCAGUGGCUAAGUGUUGGGGAUAAAACGCGAAACACAGCAAUUUUUAUUAACUUAUUGGAACAAUAUUUCGUAGUACAAAUUAUUUGGUUUUCUCCGAUUAUUUUCGUUUUGCCGAUUUUAGAUGUGUCAUAUGAAACAGGGUGUGUGGCGAAGUAGAACGAAUGUGGAUACAACGAUGGAGCACUGCCACCCUGUCUUCUGGAAGUGCAGGAAUUUUUAAAUCCAUGGUUUACUGAACAACAGGGAUUUAUAAAAUGCUGUUUAUGUGCCUCUGUUACCAACAACAGUGAAUAAACUGAGACAUCACGUAAGAGCAGUUGUGGAAGCUGUAGCUAAAGACAAGCUCACUGCAGUGCGGGAACAAUUUGAUUACCCCAUUGACAUAUGUCAUGAAUCUCAAGAGGACAUAUUAAACACCUAUGAAAAGGUGUAAACAUCCAGCCUCAUUCAUGGCUUUAUCACUUUGAGGACGAGCAAUAAUGUUGGAACCUACAGAUGGAAAGAACCAGUUGGCUAUCUUCCGACAAUGCACUUGAGUGAGUUCGCUUUAAUUCUACGUGUGCAGAGAUUGGUGUGCAGGGAGUCAAGCAGUAACUCGUUGGUUGUUUGAUUUUUCCUUUCGGAGAAAAAUAUAAUAGCAGAAAUGCUUUAGCAUUCACUGUACUUCAGAGUCCACAUAAAAUAAUACAUCCCACUAAUUGCCAGGAUAAGUAAAUUUAUAUGUUGAAUAAAGCCAAGAUCAACCACCUCCUGUAGAACCAUGUUUGGUAAGGCACUGUGCUCAUACUAUUUAAUUCUUGGAGAUUUUAGCUGUACGAGUGUUAGGCUGUGUUUAAUGUAUGUUUCUGUCCAUAACAAACUGUUUCCCAAUGCUAGAGAAAUCUAGAUCAGUUCAGCUUCCUGACUUUUUGGAUUUCAAACAGCAACUUGCUCCAUAUUUGCAUGCUCUGAGCCCAGAAUUAGGAGGUAAAACAGGCUUUAGAGAACACAGUAAUUGUAGUUGCAUGAUACAGUACUAAGAAAAUUGCACUGUUCAAAAUGGUCAUCUUAAUGAGCUCUAUUGUUUGUAAACAAUUACAUCCACAGAUAAGGGAGCACAUGGGUCCAUCAUCAUCAUCAUCAUCAUCAUCAUCAUCAUCAUCAUCAUCAUCAUCAUCAAUAACAAUGGACUCGACCAAUAAGCAUUAGAAAAUUGUCCACAGCUAUGUGGUCAGCAGCAUCAAGUCUGUGCAGGGGGCCUGGGGUCAAUUCCUGGUAAUAGCAGGGAAUUUUCCUUGGUGUGAGGACAAAUUAGAUGCACACAGCCUAAUGGGGCCCACUGAGGAGCUGCUUGAGUGAGAAGUAAUGGCUCUGAAGGCUGGCAAACCAACAAGUCAGGAGAGUGGGGUGCUGACCUCAUGUCACAUCUGAAUAACCCAAUUGGCAGAUGAAGACAAUAUGGCUAGUCGGUAACCAAUGGCCCAUU